RNAcentral lists this ribosomal RNA (253 nucleotides) under uncultured bacterium. RNAcentral describes it as "partial 16S ribosomal RNA". It matches the Rfam family "Bacterial small subunit ribosomal RNA", at positions 526 to 779 of the family's 1533-position model. The record is from RNAcentral.
CGGAGGGGCGUAGCGUUGUUCGGAAUUACUGGGCGUAAAGCGCACGUAGGCGGACCAGAAAGUUGGGGGUGAAUCCCGGGGCUCAACCUCGGAACUGCCUUCAAAACUAUUGGUCUGGAGUUCGAGAGAGGUGAGUGGAAUUCCGAGUGUAGAGGUGAAAUUCGUAGAUAUUCGGAGGAACACCAGUGGCGAAGGCGGCUCACUGGCUCGAUACUGACGCUGAGGUGCGAAAGCGUGGGGAGCAAACAGGAUU